CUAUAGCUCAGCCGGAUAGAGCAACUGCCUUCUAAGCAGUAGGUCCUGGGUUCGAAUCCCCGU
This 63-nucleotide transfer RNA is filed under the name bovine gut metagenome. It matches the Rfam family "tRNA", at positions 7 to 64 of the family's 71-position model. Rfam says of the family: Transfer RNA (tRNA) molecules are approximately 80 nucleotides in length. Their secondary structure includes four short double-helical elements and three loops (D, anti-codon, and T loops). The record is from RNAcentral.